AGAGUUGGUCUGAGUGCAAGGGUUAAUUCCCGGGUGUGCGGGUGUGAGUCGCUGACUGUGAUUCACUCAUGAUGCCGUGUGUGUGCAGAGAUUUUUUUUAAUCUUUAUACUUUUGUUUUUGAAAUAAUUUCCAUGGUGUGUGUCUAUCUGGAUUCUUGCUCUAUCGGGCUUGCUGUUCCUGUUCUGUCCGACUUUCUGUUCCUGCUCUGUUCGAACGCCCAACCUGUUCCUCUUUUGUCCGACUACCUGUUCCUGUUCUGUCAGACUUCCUGUUCUUUCUGACUUGCUGUUCAUGUUGUGUCCGACUUACUGUUUCUGCUCUAUCCGACUUCCUGUUCCGUUUGACUUCCCGACCUGUUCUAGAUAAGUUGCUGUUCUGUCAGACUUUCUGAUCCUGUUCAAAUUCCCGAUCUGUUCCUGUACUGUCAGAUUUUCUGUUCCUGUUCGGUUGCUGUUAUGUCGGACUUCCUGUUUCUGUUCUGUUGGACUUCAUGUUCCUGUUAGAGGUGUUUAGGGUUUAUACACAGCUGUCACUUUUGAACUGACCUCUCCACGGAGCGCAGCUUCACUUGCUUCAAGUCUUUGAGUACAUCCAACAUGGAGGGCGUGCUCUGAACAGCUUUGAGCUGUUUCGUGUCCGUGUCCUUCCCGUGACACUUGCGUCGUCGGAUCAGCUCGCCUACGGACGACGAGCUGGGACAUAGCGGCGGAGGAGGAGGAAGAGGCGGCGGAGGAGGAGGAGGCGGGGGAGCACAGCAAGGUGUGGAUGUGAGAGCCGCAGGUGACAUCAACGGCGUUCCGAUUGCAUUUUGGGACUCUGGGAGAUCUACAAGUGUUGAAAACAUCUACAAAUGAGUAUUGUUGUAUCCUCUCUUUGUAUGUGUUGCUGCCCUGUGUGUGUUAAAAUAGCAGUUGCUUGAAGCUUUAUAUUCACUGUGACAUCUAUGUGCAUUGCCUUUAGCCCAUUUAUGGCUAAGAAAAAUAAGUUGAAAAAAAAUAUUUUAAAAAUUGGCAAAAAUCUGGGAAUUUUUUUUCUUUUCUUGCGUACCCGUGGCCUGAGUGGCAGUAACAAGAAUGGCUAUCUGAGCUUGCAGCUUGAACAGUUCGCUCUCCAGCGCAGAGAUCUUCUCCAAGGCUUCCGGGUUUGUCUUUUGGCCAACGCAUCCGCCUCCCACCAGUCGUCGUCCUGGAGGCUUCUUUAGUGGUAGAUGGUGCCUAAGAACGUGCAAAUUGAUCAACAAAUGAUAGCAAGUAGCCGGUGUUUUGUUUGUGUUCAUCAUGGUACCUGGUCUUGGCAAAACCAUUCUCUUCAUCCUCAAGUACCCACAGAACGUCAGCGAAUGAUGGGAUGGCUGACGUUUCCAUGGCGACAUCCAUGUAUCCGUGCGGGCUGGAGGUGAGGAGCGGGAGCUGAUGUGCCAAAUGCGGAAGGAAUGUAACGACAAUGAAAAGUUGGAAUUGAAUUAGAUGACAUAUUAAAUCAAAUUUUAUUGUAUUACCGGUAUAUAACUGUAAAUAAAGGCACAUUGUUGAAUAAACAA
Long non-coding RNA from Phyllopteryx taeniolatus (common seadragon), 1541 nucleotides. RefSeq lists it as uncharacterized. The transcript is spliced from 2 exons. The record is from RefSeq and is a predicted model, not a curated record. Lineage: Eukaryota; Metazoa; Chordata; Actinopteri; Syngnathiformes; Syngnathidae.